Molecule: ribosomal RNA, 292 nt
Filed under: uncultured bacterium
Lineage: Bacteria
Description: partial 16S ribosomal RNA
Source: RNAcentral
GGACUACCAGGGUAUCUAAUCCGGUUGGCUCCCCACGCGGUCGCACAUGAGUGUCAGUACACGCCCAGAUGGCUCCCUUCGGCCUUGGUGUUCCUGCCGAUCUCUACGCAUUUCACCACUACACCGGCAAUUCCACCAUCCUCUGCGUGACUCGAGCGCGGCAGUCUGUGCUGGCCUCCCCGGGUUAAGCCCGAGGCUUUCACACCACACUUGCCGUGCCACCUGCGUGCGCUGUACGCCCAGUAAUUCCGGACAACGCUGGCCCCCUCUGUCUUACCGCGGCUGCUGGCAC